CGAGGGAAAGAGCGCGCAGCGGCGGACGGAGGAGAGGAGGGGCGCUGGGGCGUGGUGCAGAAGAGAGUCAGCGGGUGAGCGGGGCGGGGGCUAACUUGGGAUCGGCGGUGAGGAGCGACCGGUAGGAGGGGCAGGUGCCGGUGGUGCGCGUAGCGGCGGUCUCCCGUAGCGGUCCACACGCGCACGGAGGCGCCCAAGCGCGGCGUCAACGGCCUCCGCACCCGCGGCGCCCAGUUGGAGGAGCCCCUGCUACCCGCGGUGUUCGGAGCAGCCUCCAGCGUAGAGGUAGGCGGUGCCGAGGCCGCGAGCAGGAGGAGUGGCUGCCAGCGGAGAGGUAGACGGUGCCGUCGCCACGAGCAAGAGGAGGAACCGAUAGGCGGAAGGGUAGGCGGUACCGACACCGGAGGUUCGAAACCCAACACUACCGAAUCGACGUGGUACUGCAACCCAGAGAACAAGAAUAGCAGCAACUACACAGUCUAGACAACGACACGAUCGACUUGACAUC
This 508-nucleotide ribosomal RNA is filed under the name Triticum aestivum (bread wheat). RNAcentral's name for it is "partial small subunit ribosomal RNA". The record is from RNAcentral. Lineage: Eukaryota; Viridiplantae; Streptophyta; Magnoliopsida; Poales; Poaceae.